UCCGGUUUGACACCGGCAGUCUCGCUAGAGUCCUCAGCAUUACCUGUUAGCAACUAGCGACAAGGGUUGCGCUCGUUAAGGGACUUAACCCGACACUUCACAGCACGAGCUGACGACAGCCAUGCAGCACCUGUGCUUGUUCCGCCCUUGCGGGUGUGGCUCCACUUUCAUGGAGUUAAUACAAGCAUGUCAAACCCAGGUAAGGUUCUUCGCGUUGCUUCGAAUUAAACCACACGCUCCGCUGCUUGUGCGGGCCCCCGUCAAUUCCUUUGAGUUUUAGCCUUGCGGCCGUACUCCCCAGGCGGAGUGCUUAACGCGUUAGCUACGACGCCUCCGGGGUCAAUACCGGAAACAUCUAGCACUCAUCGUUUACGGCGUGGACUAC
Molecule: unclassified non-coding RNA, 385 nt
Filed under: uncultured bacterium
Lineage: Bacteria
Description: contains 16S-23S intergenic spacer region
Source: RNAcentral